AGGGCUUUAAGUUAAUUAAACUAUUAUCCUUCAAAGUUAAAAAUAUAAUUUUGUUAUAAGUCUUA
This 65-nucleotide transfer RNA is filed under the name Tettigades auropilosa. RNAcentral describes it as "tRNA-Trp". RNAcentral also lists the same sequence under 1 other name. Lineage: Eukaryota; Metazoa; Arthropoda; Insecta; Hemiptera; Cicadidae. The record is from RNAcentral.